GGCGGCAGGCCUAACACAUGCAAGUCGAGCGAGACCUUCGGGUCUAGCGGCGGACGGGUUAGUAACGCGUGGGAACGUACCCUUUUCUAAGGAAUAGCCACUGGAAACGGUGAGUAAUGCCUUAUACGCCCUUCGGGGGAAAGAUUUAUCGGAGAAGGAUCGGCCCGCGUUAGAUUAGAUAGUUGGUGGGGUAAUGGCCUACCAAGUCUACGAUCUAUAGCUGGUUUGAGAGGAUGAUCAGCAACACUGGGACUGAGACACGGCCCAGACUCCUACGGGAGGCAGCAGUGGGGAAUCUUAGACAAUGGGCGCAAGCCUGAUCUAGCCAUGCCGCGUGAGUGAUGAAGGCCUUAGGGUCGUAAGGCUCUUUCGCCUGUGAAGAUAAUGACUGUAGCAGGUAAAGAAACCCCGGCUAACUCCGUGCCAGCAGCCGCGGUAAUACGGAGGGGGUUAGCGUUGUUCGGAAUUACUGGGCGUAAAGCGCGCGUAGGCGGACAUUUAAGUCAGAGGUGAAAUCCCAGGGCUCAACCCUGGAACUGCCUUUGAUACUGGGUGUCUUGAGUUCGAGAGAGGUGAGUGGAAUUCCGAGUGUAGAGGUGAAAUUCGUAGAUAUUCGGAGGAACACCAGUGGCCGAAGGCGGCUCACUGGCUCGAUACUGACGCUGAGGUGCGAAAGUGUGGGGAGCAAACAGGAUUAGAUACCCUGGUAGUCCACACCGUAAACCAUGAAUGCCAGUCGUCGGGCAGUAUACUGUUCGGUGACACACCUAACGGAUUAAGCA
This 782-nucleotide ribosomal RNA is filed under the name uncultured Alphaproteobacteria bacterium. RNAcentral describes it as "bacterial SSU rRNA". It matches the Rfam family "Bacterial small subunit ribosomal RNA", at positions 38 to 866 of the family's 1533-position model. The record is from RNAcentral. Lineage: Bacteria; Pseudomonadati; Pseudomonadota; Alphaproteobacteria.